This 500-nucleotide ribosomal RNA is filed under the name uncultured bacterium. Its description in RNAcentral is "partial 16S ribosomal RNA". It matches the Rfam family "Bacterial small subunit ribosomal RNA", at positions 30 to 523 of the family's 1533-position model. The record is from RNAcentral.
AUUGAACGCUGGCGGCAUGCUUUACACAUGCAAGUCGAACGGUAACAGGGUGCUUGCACCGCUGACGAGUGGCGAACGGGUGAGUAAUGCGUCGGAACGUGCCGAGUAGUGGGGGAUAACGCAGCGAAAGUUGUGCUAAUACCGCAUACGUACUGAGGUAGAAAGUGGGGGACCUUCGGGCCUCACGCUAUUCGAGCGGCCGACGUCUGAUUAGCUAGUAGGUGAGGUAAAGGCUCACCUAGGCGACGAUCAGUAGCGGGUCGGAGAGGAUGAUCCGCCAAACUGGGACUGAGACACGGCCCAGACUCCUACGGGAGGCAGCAGUGGGGAAUUUUGGACAAUGGGCGAAAGCCUGAUCCAGCCAUGCCGCGUGUCUGAAGAAGGCCUUCGGGUUGUAAAGGACUUUUGUUAGGGAGGAAAUCCCUAGUGCUAAUAACACUGGGGGAUGACAGUACCUGAAGAAUAAGCACCGGCUAACUACGUGCCAGCCGCCGCCGUAA